This is a long non-coding RNA of Aegilops tauschii subsp. strangulata, 4033 nucleotides long. RefSeq lists it as uncharacterized. Lineage: Eukaryota; Viridiplantae; Streptophyta; Magnoliopsida; Poales; Poaceae. The record is from RefSeq and is a predicted model, not a curated record.
CUUGACAGCAGAAGACUAAAUUCGUAAAAGAAGAUGUAUGUGAUGAGUUCACUGGUUAAAAAAAUACAGGAUGCUUCAGUGACCCCAUUGUAUGAAUAUGUUUGUUUAAAAACAAGGUAGCGUGUGUGUUCUGAGUGGGGCGUUUCAGAGGCCGAGCUACCUGACUCCCGUUAUCUGGGACGAAGGUUGUUACGUUGUGAUGGGUGCUGCUCACUUUUUCAGUCCUUAUACGAGUUGGAAUACAUCGGUGCCAUGGGCUGGGGUGCUAUCUUUGUACAUGGGCCUCCCCAUGGGUGCGUGAUGCGGGGACAUGAUGUGCCUCCUGGGCUAAUGUUACAGAUCGAUUUGCAUUUACCUCGUUAGACUUGUCUCAAAAAAAAAAAAAUUACCUCGUUAGACCGGUCAUCGCCUUCCUCCCGGCGCACUGGACAUGGGACGGGUCCCCAUGGACGGGAUGGAGUUCUUCUUCGAAGAUGACGAUUCGGGGGUCUAUCUUAAAGGGGGAAGUGGUUGCAGUGGAAUUGGCUGUUGCUUCUAUUUAUGGGGCUCGCACAGGCAAUGGAGAUUAGAUUUCUUCCCAUGCAACAGUGGAAGAAUGGAGGCCGGAGAGAACGGAGGAGGACGGCACCCAGAAGAGACAAUCAUGACAGAGGAGAUUAUCGAUUCAUACAUCUGUGGUAGCGAAGUGGUGGCCAAUUCAAUGUCCCCUGAAAAUAUGAGCGGCCAAAGAAGAUGAGAUGCAGAGGGGGUGGUCAUCUAAAAAUCACAGGGCUCCUGCUGGACACGAAGGAAGUUUACUUGUGAUCUAAUCUUUUAUUUUGUGACUCUGUAUAAUGGUAGCACAUAAUGGAGUAAACGAGUCUUCAUGUGAAAUUGACAGAAUUAGGAUCAGUUAGGAUGCAGAUGAGAGGGAGAACAAUCCCAGCAGAGUGCCUCCUGUGCUUGAGGCUUCGAUAUGUGCUUAUGCUGAUAACAAGGCAGGUACUGUUGUUAAUCCAGCUAGCUCGCUUCCGUCGAAGAAGUAUAUGAGUUUUACAACUUUUACUCUUUGGGAGACUGACUUUGGUGUCCGGUAUGCAAAGAGCCGACUCAAUGUCCAUCGUAUAAAUUGCAUGCAUGCACGGGUAAACCACUGCAGUCCAAUAGCAGAUCAAGGCGGUGUGGCUGCACUGCUAUGAUGCGGCUACUGAGAUCGGAUGAUAACGGCUCGUACGGGUGUGAGCAUAUGUCAGAAAUGAUCAUGAACUCUCUGUUAACUGUAUGGAGAAGUUACAUUGAAAGUCGCAUCGACACAUAGAUAGGUACAUCGGGGACAUGGUAAAAGAACAAACAAUGUAAGCACAUGCAAAGUUUACAGCAUCGUGGACAGUUUUUUUGGUGUCAGUGAAGGAGGUCCCGUUCACAAAAUCUGCCAUAUUGGAUAUUUUCUGAAUUCCUUUAUCGGUUGAUUAUCUGAAUAUUUGUUCUGAUCUGCACGCAGCAUUGCGUCGCUGUGGGUCUUGAUCUUGAAGAGGGUUGCGGCCACUUCGACCCCUUGUUGGCGUUAAUCCUACCGAGCCAUGCAGCAAGUUAUGAAUCAGAGCACAUGUUAGACGAUAUUUGACGGCGCUGCGGCAACUGAUGGUGCAUGCUCUGAAGACGAAGAAGUCACGAACAAGCCUGCCAAAAAAGCCAGGAUAGUUUGACCGCCUAGUGUGAAAUGACACUAGUAGAUUUUAGAGCAGGAAUGGUUAGCCCUGUUUCAUAUCUUGUGCACGAUAUGCUGGUCCGAGCAUGGAACAGAGUGGUGAUGGCACUUGUGCCAGCGCUGCUGGACAUACUCGUCUCUAUGGGAUACCACUGUUCAUUAAUUGAGAAUACAGUAGCUGGUAAAUGACUCGUACCUGAAAUACAGGAGAGGAAUACCUGCCUGCGGCUGAUCCCAGUAAAGACAAACGGAUGUGAUAGCGGCCACCAGGUAGCUCGGCCUCCAAAGAGCAUUUCCGGUGUGUUCAUUCCUAUAUUUUCUGUUAUGUAUGUUGGUUGAUUUUAUUUACAGAAAUUUACAAAAAGAGUUUACUGAUGCUGCUCCUGGAGGUAAUUAGCCAGUCACUGAAUGCUUCCUCUGUUGAUGUUGCUUCUUUAGGUAAAGACCUGGCCAAAUGGGGAUCUGCAAUUUGGAUUUGGGGAUCCUCAAUUUCUUUUUUGCAAUAACCUGAAAUUGUUUAGCAAAUACUAGGAAAUAUGCCCGUGUGUUGCUACGGCUCUAGAAUAAACCUAUACAUGGUCACAAUACAGGAUAGCAACAUGUCUCCUUUUAAUUUUGUUUCAAACCAUUCGAAAUAUGUUAGAUUUUACUUUAAUUUAGUUCGCUUAUUCCACCAUAAAGCAUUCAUGUUGAAAAGGAGAUAACGUCUGUCAUUUACAUUCCAAUCUUUUUGCUUGCAGCAUUGUUAAGAAUUGCGCACCAAUCUGAGAAAACGUUUGUACCCAAAAAAAAAGAGUCGAUAAACUUUCUUGUAUCUUCAGCCAUACAUCAUUUACUCAUAUUUAAAAAUUUGCAAUAUUUAAUCCAAGAAAAAAAUAUGUGAAUUACAGGACUAAUUGUACUGAUGUGACUUGAGAUUUGGUUAGUUUCACACGCUCAUACUUCUUUAGUUUUCUUGUAAAAUAAUAUGGCGAUAUUUAUACUAUUCAGGGGGUUAUCCAUCCGUAAGAUUAUUCUUGAACUUGAAGCUAGCUAGUAAUCACCAUGAGUUCAGUUGGCAUUCGAAGUAAUCACCAAGCCAAUCAACCGUGAGCAUCCGGACGUUAGCUGCGAAAUGACGGACGGCUGGAUGGGCUAAUGAAGAUUAAACCUCACGUUUUGUACACGGCAGUGAGACGUCGACCAGAAGGACUUACCAGACAGGGGCGUGGCGGAUUCAGAUAUCCUACUGCAGCUAUCGCUGCUCUCCAAGGCGUUAGUAGUUCAGAGAGUUGUUCAAUAGCUCUCCGUCCAGUGCCUGCUCAAUACACGGCGAUGACGACCUCCUUUGGGCACUCGUAGGCAGGAGAAGAGAGGACCGCGGCUGCAGAUCACUCUCGGCGUUGCUCCCGUGCCGCUUGAAGGUCACCGGCUCGGGGCAGAGCAGGACCUUAAAGGCAUGGAUACGCCAGACCUGAAGGACGGCACUGGAAAGGGUGGCGCAGGGGGGGACGUUGCUCGCGCUCACGGCGGACGCCGGCGGCGCAACACGCGUAGAAGGUAGACGGCGGUGCUGGAUCUCGCCUAGAGCACGGAGGGGACAGGGAGCAGGGGGAGAGGUAGGCAGUAAACCAGAAAGGAAUGGCCAUGUAUGGCAUCUGCCCUCGGCGGAGCUCCGUGUCGUCGGCAACCUCCGCGACAGACACCCAGAAGCCCAUCGUGUCGGCGUCGUUGAGGAAUCGCCCCUGCUUGCUGUGUCCGACCUCAAUUUCAGAGAAACCGGAGACGGGGGAUCGUCCGCGGUUGGGCAACGGGUAAGGGGAGGAGUCCGGGGCAAAGACUGUUGCGUUCCACCGGCCGGAGGAGGGCAGCGGCUCCGGUGGCCGGAGAUCGAGGGGGUGGCGGCGGUGUCCGACCUCCAACAGGCUGUGUUCUCUUUCUGAGGAGACGAAAAACGGAGAAACCCUGCUCUCGAACCGCCGCCGCAGCCUGACUCCACUCUCCCCGUCAACCCCCUCUCCCUCGAUCCAGCGGCGUGGUUAGAUUGAAGCCCCCUGAAUUCCACGACCGAUCUGAUUCUAUCGAUCGAGGCAGCUCUGUUCCGAUUUGUAUAGUUUUUUUUUUAGGAGGAGUGUCCGUGUCGCGCGGGGUGUAGGAGGCAGCGUGGGCUGAGAGGCCCGGUACAGCGAUCCUAAUCAUUUUUUAUGGAUUUUUUCCUUACUUAUAUGGAUGGCAUGGUGGGUAAUUAUUUAUUGUAUGGCAAGUCUUGCAUGCCUAAUAAUUAGAAAAAAAACAAAUAAAACAUAAGCAGGGAAAGUCUUGCAUGAAGAAUAGUUAGAAAACAAAUUAAAUAUAGGACGGUUUCCA